GAUGAACGCUAGCGACAGGCUUAACACAUGCAAGUCGAGGGGCAGCACGGGAGUAGUAAUACAACUGGUGGCGACCGGCGCACGGGUGAGUAACGCGUAUGCAACCUACCUAUCAGAGGGGAAUAACCCGGCGAAAGUCGGACUAAUACCGCAUAAAACAGGGGCACCGCAUGGUGCUAUUUGUUAAAGAAAUUCGCUGAUAGAUGGGCAUGCGUUCCAUUAGGUAGUUGGUGAGGUAACGGCUCACCAAGCCGACGAUGGAUAGGGGAACUGAGAGGUUGGUCCCCCACACUGGUACUGAGACACGGACCAGACUCCUACGGGAGGCAGCAGUGAGGAAUAUUGGUCAAUGGGCGAGAGCCUGAACCAGCCAAGUCGCGUGAAGGAAGAAGGAUCUAUGGUUCGUAAACUUCUUUUGCAGGGGAAUAAAGUGCAGGACGUGUCCUGUUUUGUAUGUACCCUGAGAAUAAGGAUCGGCUAACUCCGUGCCAGCAGCCGCAGUAA
Molecule: ribosomal RNA, 504 nt
Filed under: uncultured bacterium
Lineage: Bacteria
Description: partial 16S ribosomal RNA
Rfam family: Bacterial small subunit ribosomal RNA
Source: RNAcentral